This 698-nucleotide ribosomal RNA is filed under the name Basedowena cottoni. RNAcentral's name for it is "partial 16S ribosomal RNA". The record is from RNAcentral. Lineage: Eukaryota; Metazoa; Mollusca; Gastropoda; Stylommatophora; Camaenidae.
GUAUGUAGCAUAAUAUAAUAACAAUUUUAAAUUAGAAGUGAUAUUCCUUACACAUUUUGCGAUAUCUUGAUGUUUUCGAUAAGUAUUUAGUACAAUUACAACUAAAAAGCGCUGAGGUUUUUUAGAAGUAUUAAUUAUUAUAAGUAAUAUUUGUUUUUUAUAAUAAUUAACUACCAAAGAAAUAUAAUAUUAAUAUAUAUUAUUUAUAUUUUCUAGAAUACAAUAAAAAUUAAUCUUUAAAUUUAUAAUGUUAUUAUAAGUAAUAAAUAGAUACAAAUAAUGAACUCGGCAAUACACUUUUCAACUGUUUAUCAAAAACAUAGUUAUCAGAAGUUAUUGAUAAUUUUUUCUGCUCAAUGAUUAUUUAAAUAGCCGCAGUACCCUGACUGUGCAAAGGUAGCAUAAUCAGUUGGCUUAUAAUUGAAGUCUUGUAUGAAUGAAAUCAUGAAAGAGUGACUAUAUCAUUAGUAUAAUAUAAAAUUAAUAAGAAAGUGCAAAUGCUUUCUUAUAAUUAAUAGACGAGAAGACCCUAGAAAUUUUUAAACUAUGUUACUAUGGGUUUUUGUUGGGGCAACAAUGUAACAGAUAACUUACAUUAUUACAUGAAAUAAAAUAGAUCGAUUAAAUUACUCUAGGGAUAACAGCGUAAUAUUUGAAUGUUUGCGACCUCGAUGUUGGACUAGGAAACAAAUGCUUAG